UGGGGAAUAUUGCACAAUGGGCGCAAGCCUGAUGCAGCCAUGCCGCGUGUGUGAAGAAGGCCUUCGGGUUGUAAAGCACUUUCAGCGAGGAGGAAGGUGGUGAGCUUAAUACGCUCAUCAAUUGACGUUACUCGCAGAAGAAGCACCGGCUAACUCCGUGCCAGCAGCCGCGGUAAUACGGAGGGUGCAAGCGUUAAUCGGAAUUACUGGGCGUAAAGCGCACGCAGGCGGUUUGUUAAGUCAGAUGUGAAAUCCCCGGGCUCAACCUGGGAACUGCAUUUGAAAACUGGCAAGCUAGAGUCUCGUAGAGGGGGGUAGAAUUCCAGGUGUAGCGGUGAAAUGCGUAGAGAUCUGGAGGAAUACCGGUGGCGAAGGCGGCCCCCUGGACGAAGACUGACGCUCAGGUGCGAAAAGCGUGGGGAGCAAACAGGAUUAGAUACCCCUGGUAGUCCACGCUGUAAACGAUGUCGAUUUUGGAGGUUGUGCCCUUGAGGCGUGGCUUCCGGAGCUAACGCGUUAAAUCGACCGCCUGGGGAGUACGGCCGCAAGG
This 550-nucleotide ribosomal RNA is filed under the name uncultured bacterium. RNAcentral's name for it is "partial 16S ribosomal RNA". It matches the Rfam family "Bacterial small subunit ribosomal RNA", at positions 355 to 893 of the family's 1533-position model. The record is from RNAcentral.